RNAcentral lists this unclassified non-coding RNA (232 nucleotides) under air metagenome. Its description in RNAcentral is "partial contains small subunit ribosomal RNA, internal transcribed spacer 1, and 5.8S ribosomal RNA". The stretch from base 1 to 46 matches the Rfam family "Eukaryotic small subunit ribosomal RNA", at positions 1786 to 1831 of the family's 1831-position model. The record is from RNAcentral.
AAGUCGUAACAAGGUCUCCGUUGGUGAACCAGCGGAGGGAUCAUUACAGAGUUUAACAACUCCCAAACCCAUGUGAACUUACCUUUGUUGCCUCGGCGGAAGCUGGGAGCACCUACCCUGUAGCUGUGCCCCCCUCUCCCGCCGGUGGACCAUCAAACUCUUGUUAUUUAUUGACAUCUGAGCGUCUUAUUUUAAUAAGUCAAAACUUUCAACAACGGAUCUCUUGGUUCUG